Molecule: ribosomal RNA, 706 nt
Filed under: uncultured Lachnospiraceae bacterium
Lineage: Bacteria; Bacillati; Bacillota; Clostridia; Lachnospirales; Lachnospiraceae
Description: bacterial SSU rRNA
Rfam family: Bacterial small subunit ribosomal RNA
Source: RNAcentral
GAUGAACGCUGGCGGCGUGCCUAACACAUGCAAGUCGAACGAAGCAAUUAAAAUGAAGUUUUCGGAUGGAUUUUUGAUUGACUGAGUGGCGGACGGGUGAGUAACGCGUGGAUAACCUGCCUCACACUGGGGGAUAACAGUUAGAAAUGACUGCUAAUACCGCAUAAGCGCACAGUACCGCAUGGUACGGUGUGAAAAACUCCGGUGGUGUGAGAUGGAUCCGCGUCUGAUUAGCCAGUUGGCGGGGUAACGGCCCACCAAAGCGACGAUCAGUAGCCGACCUGAGAGGGUGACCGGCCACAUUGGGACUGAGACACGGCCCAAACUCCUACGGGAGGCAGCAGUGGGGAAUAUUGCACAAUGGGCGAAAGCCUGAUGCAGCGACGCCGCGUGAGUGAAGAAGUAUUUCGGUAUGUAAAGCUCUAUCAGCAGGGAAGAAAAUGACGGUACCUGACUAAGAAGCCCCGGCUAACUACGUGCCAGCAGCCGCGGUAAUACGUAGGGGGCAAGCGUUAUCCGGAUUUACUGGGUGUAAAGGGAGCGUAGACGGCGAAGCAAGUCUGAAGUGAAAACCCAGGGCUCAACCCUGGGACUGCUUUGGAAACUGUUUUGCUAGAGUGUCGGAGAGGUAAGUGGAAUUCCUAGUGUAGCGGUGAAAUGCGUAGAUAUUAGGAGGAACACCAGUGGCGAAGGCGGCUUACUGGAC